GACGAACGCUGGCGGCGUGCCUAAUACAUGCAAGUCGAGCGAGCGGAACUAACAGAUUUACUUCGGUACUGACGUUAGGAAAGCGAGCGGCUGAUGGGUGCGUAACACGUGGGGAACCUGCCCCAUAGUCUGGGAUACCCCUUGGAAACAGGUGCUAAUACCGGAUAAGAAAGCAGAUCGCAUGAUCAGCUUUUAAAAGGCGGCGUAAGCUGUCGCUAUGGGAUGGCCCCGCGGUGCCUUAGCUAGUUGGUAAGGUAAAGGCUUACUAAGGCGAUGAUGCAUAGCCGAGGCGAGAGACUGAUCGGCCACAUUAGGACUGAGACACGGCCCAAGCUCCUACGGGAGGCAGCAGUAGGGAAUCUUCCACAAUGGACGCAAGUCUGAUGGAGCAACGCCGCGUGAGUGAAGAAGGUGUUCGGAUCGUAAAGCUCUGUUGUUGGUGAAGAAGGAUAGAGGUAGUAACUGGCCUGUAUUUGACGGUAAUCAACCAGAAAGUCACGGCUAACUACGUG
Molecule: ribosomal RNA, 512 nt
Filed under: uncultured bacterium
Lineage: Bacteria
Description: partial 16S ribosomal RNA
Rfam family: Bacterial small subunit ribosomal RNA
Source: RNAcentral